Molecule: transfer RNA, 90 nt
Filed under: Bacteriovoracaceae bacterium
Lineage: Bacteria; Pseudomonadati; Bdellovibrionota; Bacteriovoracia; Bacteriovoracales; Bacteriovoracaceae
Description: tRNA-Ser
Rfam family: tRNA
About the family: Transfer RNA (tRNA) molecules are approximately 80 nucleotides in length. Their secondary structure includes four short double-helical elements and three loops (D, anti-codon, and T loops).
Source: RNAcentral
GGAGAAUUGGCCGAGUGGUUGAUGGCGCACGCUUGGAAAGCGUGUAAUGGAGCAAUCCAUUCGUGGGUUCGAAUCCCAUGUUCUCCGCCA